This 109-nucleotide transfer RNA is filed under the name Spathaspora passalidarum NRRL Y-27907. It matches the Rfam family "tRNA". Rfam says of the family: Transfer RNA (tRNA) molecules are approximately 80 nucleotides in length. Their secondary structure includes four short double-helical elements and three loops (D, anti-codon, and T loops). Further hydrogen bonds mediate the characteristic L-shaped molecular structure. tRNAs have two regions of fundamental functional importance: the anti-codon, which is responsible for specific mRNA codon recognition, and the 3' end, to which the tRNAs corresponding amino acid is attached (by aminoacyl-tRNA synthetases). tRNAs cope with the degeneracy of the genetic code in two manners: having more than one tRNA (with a specific anti-codon) for a particular amino acid; and 'wobble' base-pairing, i.e. permitting non-standard base-pairing at the 3rd anti-codon position. Lineage: Eukaryota; Fungi; Ascomycota; Pichiomycetes; Serinales; Debaryomycetaceae. The record is from Rfam by way of RNAcentral.
GGGCGUGUGGUCUAGUGGUAUGAUUCUCGCUUUGGGCGACGACUUGGGAAACAAGUUGAUUUAACUACAAGCAUGCGAGAGGCCCUGGGUUCAAUUCCCAGCUCGCCCC